UACGGAGGGUGCAAGCGUUAUCCGGAUUCACUGGGUUUAAAGGGUGCGUAGGCGGGUUGGUAAGUCCGUGGUGAAAUCCCCAAGCUUAACUUGGGAACUGCCGUGGAUACUAUCAAUCUUGAAUAUCGUGGAGGUAAGCGGAAUAUGUCAUGUAGCGGUGAAAUGCUUAGAUAUGACAUAGAACACCAAUUGCGUAGGCAGCUUACUACACAUAUAUUGACACUGAUGCACGAAAGCGUGGGGAUCAAACAGG
This 253-nucleotide ribosomal RNA is filed under the name uncultured bacterium. RNAcentral's name for it is "partial 16S ribosomal RNA". It matches the Rfam family "Bacterial small subunit ribosomal RNA", at positions 524 to 776 of the family's 1533-position model. The record is from RNAcentral.